ACUUGUACAUGUUGCUCUACAUUAUGUAUACAUGAACAUGACAACAUGCAUUGUAUCAACUGAGUGACAUUAUGUGUUUUGUGAACUUUAUUAAUAUAAGGUGAUUGGACUUGUUGAUUUGUCUUUUUCAGGUCAUGUCUAACUCCAUCAGCAUUCAUGUCAGUCAUGGAUCAAAGGUAGAUGAUAUAUUACUGGAGGAUCCUGAUAGCACUAGCAUUGGCAACUUGAAAAUUAUUAUUUUUGAAAAGUUUGGAGCUACUAGUUCCUAUCGAAGCACAUAUGCUAAUAUUUAAAGGUACCUUCUGCCACAGAAACUCAUGUGAGAGGAAAGAGAAGACACUAGUGGGACUCAUUCAAUCAUUAAUGGUACACUAACUGAUAAGUUGACUCAUGAAAGGAGUCCUACAUUACUGAACUAAAGAAUAAUAAAAUUUUGC
Molecule: long non-coding RNA, 437 nt
Organism: Amphimedon queenslandica
Lineage: Eukaryota; Metazoa; Porifera; Demospongiae; Haplosclerida; Niphatidae
Exons: 3
Source: RefSeq, a predicted model, not a curated record